UACGGAGGGUGCAAGCGUUGUUCGGAAUCAUUGGGCGUAAAGCGCGUGUAGGCGGUCUUCUAAGUCUGAUGUGAAAGCCCGGAGCUUAACUUCGGAACUGCAUUGGAUACUGGAAGACUAGAGGAUGGUAGAGGAUGGUGGAAUUCCUGGUGUAGGGGUGAAAUCCGUAGAGAUCAGGAGGAACAUCAGUGGCGAAGGCGGCCAUCUGGACCAUAUCUGACGCUGAGACGCGAAAGCGUGGGGAGCAAACAGG
This 253-nucleotide ribosomal RNA is filed under the name uncultured bacterium. Its description in RNAcentral is "partial 16S ribosomal RNA". It matches the Rfam family "Bacterial small subunit ribosomal RNA", at positions 524 to 776 of the family's 1533-position model. The record is from RNAcentral. RNAcentral also lists the same sequence under 1 other name.